Arachis ipaensis is the source of this 1085-nucleotide non-coding RNA. NCBI's taxonomy places the organism in Eukaryota, Viridiplantae, Streptophyta, Magnoliopsida, Fabales, Fabaceae. The record is from RefSeq and is a predicted model, not a curated record.
AUGUUGCUAUUUUUCUUGAACUGGACGCUACUGGGAUUUUUGGCAAGGAUGGGCCUAGUUGUUUGGAUGACGCAUAAAGCCCAACCCAAGUAUGGAGUUCAAAAACAAAAAAUGAUUGGAAGAUAUGAAAGGAAGAAAGAAACAAGAGUGUCCGUGUUUUUCUGAGACAGUACGUAGAGAGUAAAAGCAGGGAGAGGAGAGAGUAGAAUGAAUCAUUGAAAAAGGAAGCAGAAACGACGAGACUUGAGUGCAGUCUGCAGUGUGUGUGUGAUGAGCGGCGAGGACACCAGAAAGAGCAUCGGAGGAGGAACUCUGAUGGCGAGGCCCAAUUCCGACGAACAUGCUCCAAAGCCAUCGUCAGCAACAGCAACGCCCCCUCCCACCAAGAAGAUCAUCAUCAAGAGUGCCGAUAUGCCCCCCGACUUGCGGAGCACAUCAAGAAGGUCUUCGACAAGAGGCAUGGUCCCACUUGGCAUUGCAUCGUUGGUCGCAAUUUUGGUUCUUAUGUGACUCAUGAAACAAACCACUUUGUUUAUUUCUAUUUGGAUCAGAAAGCAGUUCUGCUUUUUAAGUCUGGCUAGCAACAUGCUGAAGGUGACAAAAGUGUUGAAGAGUCUUGUGAUUAUGCUGUUAUAUUAACUCUUGUAUGUAUUGAAUCCUUGGUAGGGCAAACUCUUUGAUAUUCUUGUCCUUGUAUAUCUAACUUCAUGCAUCUUGAUCUUUCUGCUUUACUUUGUAUUUUAUUCGAUUCGGGAGUCUUGGGAACACAUAAUGUCUCAUUAACAUUUCAAAUAUUUGUGACUUGUCAGACCUUAAAGGCUGUGUAUGUAACUUGUGACAACUUCACAUGGACAAGGUUAGCCGGUUAGGUUCCAAAGAAUGGGUUUGCCUUAGUGAUGUCAACAUUUCACUUGCAUUCCUUAGGUGGAAAUUUACAUUUGACAUGGUGAAUAUUACAUUUGAGAAUCCUGUCAAUGGUGGAAUGUUGAGGAUCCCAUCCCCCUUGUCGUGUUUCGAUACUAAUUAUAGAACCACUAUGCCUAAUAGCCAGAAAGAAAACAAAAGUACUAGUUACUAUAGUAAUG